This is a long non-coding RNA of Coturnix japonica (Japanese quail), 2954 nucleotides long. Lineage: Eukaryota; Metazoa; Chordata; Aves; Galliformes; Phasianidae. The record is from Ensembl.
GAGGACUGGGGGUUAUAAUGGGAUCUCUAUGGUUUAUUGGAGGACUGGGGGUAUAAUGGGAUCUCUAUGGUUUCUUGGAGGACUGGGGUUAUAAUGGGGGUGGGGGGGAUCAUAGAGACGAUGGAGGACUGCGUUGGAGGACUUGGGACCAUAGAGAUGAUGGAGGACUCAUGAUCAUAGAGUCUGUGGAGGACUAUGGGGACGCUGGAGGACUUGAGACCAUAGAGAUGGUGGAUUUGGGACAAUAGAGACUAUGGAGGACUAUAGGGAUGCUGGAGGACUAUAGGAACCAUAGAGAUGGUGGAGGACUAUAGGGAAUAGAGAUGCUGGAGGACUUGAGACCAUAGAGAUGCUGGAGGACUGCGUUGGAGGACCUGAGACCAUAGAGAUGCUGGAGGACUGGAGGGACUCUGGAGGACUUGUGACCAUAGAGAUGUUGGAGGACUGCGUUGGAGGACCUGAGACCAUAGAGAUGCUGGAGGACUGAAUCCUAGAGCGUCUUUUCUGCCUGUCUGUGCUGUUCUGUCCCAACCAUAGAGUUUAUAUUUAUAAUGAAGGUUUUUUAUACCAAAAUAAACCAUUUUGGGCCGGUUUUUACCCAUUUCAAGGCCUCAUUUCGUUCACAAAAGCCUCCAAAGCGCUGAUUGGGCGCAAAAAACAGCGCCAAACCAUUUUCCUUCACCCAUUGGUCGCCUCACCCGUCAAUCACUCUGAACCCCCUUCCUAUUGGCUGAGCAGCGCGGCGAGCCCACCUUCCUUUCCCAUUGGUCGGCUCGCCUGUCCGUCACUCUCCGCCCCUAUUUCUAUUGGCUGAGAGGACGCGCCCGCCUUUUCCGGAGUCUUUGCGGCAAGAUGGCGGCGCCCGUGUGGGCGCGGGGGCUGCGCUGCGCCAUGACGGGACAAUGGAGGAUGAAGGCUGGAGCCCGGCUCAGGCCCAGAUGUUGGGGACACAGUUUUGGGGUCAGCGCCCCCCAGAGCAGGAACCAGGACCUAAAAUCAGGUACUUAUGGGGUGAUAUGGGGUCUCUAUGGGUCUCUAUGGGUCCCUAUGGGGUUGUUAUGGGUCCCUAUGGGUCACUAUGGGUCCCUAUGGGGUCUUUAUGGGUUCUUUGGGGUCUCUAUGGGUCCCUAUGGGGUUCUUAUGGGGUCCUAUGGGGUCUCUAUGGGUCCCUGUGGGGUCAUUAUGGGUCUCUAUGGGUCUCUGUGGGUCCCUAUGGGGUCUCUAUGGGUCCCUAUGGGGUUCUUAUGGGGUCCUAUGGGUUUCUAUGGGUCCUAUGGGGUCCCUAUGGGGUCUCUAUGGGUCUCUGUGGGUCCCUAUUGGGUUCUUAUGGGUCCCUAUGGGGUCUCUAUGGGUCCUAUGGGUCACUAUGGGUCCCUAUGGGGUCUUUAUGGGUUCUUUGGGGUCUCUAUGGGUCUCUGUGGGUCUCUAUGGGGUUUCUAUGGGUCACUAUGGGUCCCUAUGGGUCCUAUGGGGUCUCUAUGGGUUUCUAUGGGGUCUCUAUGGGUCCUGUGGGGUCUCUAUGGGUCUUAUGGGUCUCUAUGGGUUCGCUAUGUGUCCCUAUGGGGUCUCUAUGGGUCCUAUGGGGUCUCUAUGGGUCACAAUGGGUCCCUAUAGGGUUGUUAUGGGUCCCUAUGGGUCCUGUGGGUUUCUAUGGGGUCCCUAUGGGGUCUCUAUGGGGUCAUUAUUGGUCUUAUGGGGUCUCUGUGGGGGGAUAUGGGGAUCUAUGGGUCUCUAUGGGGUUCUUAUGGGGUCCUAUGGGUUUCUAUGGGUCCUAUGGGGUCACUAUGGGUCUCUAUGGAUCCUAUGGGGUCCCUAUGGGUCUUAAUGGGUUCGCUAUGGGUCCCUAUGGGGUCUUUAUGGAUCCUAUGGGGUCCCUAUGUGUCUCUAUGGGGUGCUAUGGGGUCAGUAUGGGUCUCUAUGGGGUCUCUAUGGGUCCUAUGGGUUUCUACGGGGUCCCUAUGGGGUCUUUAUGGGUCCUAUGGGGUCCCUAUGGGGUCAUUAUGGGUCUUAUGGGGCCGCUAUGGGGUCAGUAUGGGUCUCUGUGGGUCCUAUGGGGUCUCUAUGGGUCCCUAUGGGGUCUCUAUGGGUCCCUAUGGGGUCUCUAUGGGUCCCUAUGGGGUUGUUAUGGGUCUCUAUGGGUCCCUAUGGGGUUCUUAUGGGGUCCUAUGGGGUCUCUAUGGGGUCUCUAUGGGUCCCUAUUGGGUUCUUAUGGGUCUUAUGGGUCUCUAUGGGGUCACUAUGGGUCCCUAUGGGUCCCUAUGAGGUUCUUAUGGGUCCCUAUGGGUCACUAUGGGGUCUCUAUGGGUCUUAUGGGGUCUUUGUGGGUCUCUAUGGGGUCCCUAUGGGUCCCUAUUGGGUUCUUAUGGGUCCCUAUGGGGUCUCUAUGGGUCCCUAUGGGGUCUCUAUGGGUCUCUAUGGGGUCAAUAUGGGUCUCUAUGGGUCCCUAUGGGGUUGUUAUGGGCCCUAUGGGGUCAUUAUGGGUCUCUAUGGGUCUCUAUGGGUCCCUAUGGGGUUGUUAUGGGUCUCUAUGGGUCCCUAUGGGUCGUAUGGGUCUUAUGGGUCUCUAUGGGGUCUCUAUGGGUCCUAUGGGGUUGUAUGGGUCCCUAUGGGUCUCUAUGGGUCCCUAUGGGGUCUCUAUGGGGUCAUUAUUGGUCUUAUNGGUCUCCCUGCCCCACACUUUAGGCUGGAGCCCGGUUCAGGCCCAGAUGUUGGGGACACAGUUUUGGGGUCAGCGCCCCCCAGAGCAGGAACCAGGACCUAAAAUCAGGUUCACAGCGGAGCUGGCUCGUGCCUACCUGGCUGUGAGGCUCAGGAGGGACCACGCGGCUGUGGGGCGGGCACUGCAAGAGGGCGGCCCACGAGUUAUGGGGCGGCAGCGUGCGGCACUACGUGUGUGUGGGGCCAUCCAGGGCCAUGAGGGACAUGGGGGAGAGACUGAGACACGGUGAGGGGGU